AUUUACAUAAUAUUUACUGAAAAAAAAUAAAUAAGAUGGUGUUAUCUUACCUUUUGCAUAAUGGUUUAAUAAUAAAUUUAUAAACUUUUAUAACCCGAAUUUAGAAGAUCUACCCAUGUUAACGGUUUUAGAAGUGUAAUGUUUCAAAAUUAUUAAUAUAUGUGGUUAGGGGUGAAAGGCUUUUCAAUUCUAAGGAUAUCUGGAAUAAUGUGAAAUGUAUUUAGUACAGAAUAAUUUUGAGUAAAAAAAUGUUAACAUUUUUUUAAAUAGAAUAUAAAUUAUAAUUAUGAAUUAACCUUCUUAUAAGUUUUUAAUAUUUAAUUUUUUAUUUUUUGUAUCUUAAUUAAAUUUAUGCUUUAAUUUAUAAUCAGUUAACUAUGUUAAAAUUAGUAUAUAUCUUAAUUUUUUUUAAGGAACUCGGCUAAUUAUUCAUCUGUUUAUCAAAAACAUAGUCUUAUGAUAUAAGGUGAUGCCUGCCCACUGAUAUAUUUAAAUGGCCGCAGUACCUUGACUGUGCUAAGGUAGCAUAAUAAAUUGACUCUUAAUUAGGGCCUUGAAUGAAAGGAUUGAUAAUUUCUGUCUUGAUUAACUUAUUAAAAUUUACUUAAUAGGUGAAAAUUCCUAUAAAUUAUAUAAUAGACGAGAAGACCCUAGGAGUUUUUUUUUUGUUGGGGCGACAAUAUAGCAAGACCUAUAUAUAUUAAAUUAAAACAAAAAAUUUUAAUAAUAAGUAAGCUACCCUAGGGAUAACAGCAUAAUUUUUAAAGUUUGUGACCUCGAUGUUGGA
This 787-nucleotide ribosomal RNA is filed under the name Tarocystis coen. Its description in RNAcentral is "partial large subunit ribosomal RNA". The record is from RNAcentral. Lineage: Eukaryota; Metazoa; Mollusca; Gastropoda; Stylommatophora; Helicarionidae.